AGGACUUCCCAGGAGGUCACCCAUCCUAGUACUACUCUUGCCCAAAUGGGUUUCAUACCCAAAAGACUGGCUAGUUUUUACGUUGGCUCGUCAAGCCUAUCACAACCCUUAGAUAUGAAACCCUUUCACGAGGACUUCCUAGGAGGUCACCCAUCCUAGUACUAUUCUCGCUCAAAUGGGUUUCAUACCUAUGGGACUGGCUAGUUUUUACGUUGGCUCGCCAAGCCUAUCACAACCCUCCUCCUUUACCCGGGCUUGGGACCGGCUAUGCCUAGAAGAC
Molecule: ribosomal RNA, 280 nt
Filed under: Triticum aestivum (bread wheat)
Lineage: Eukaryota; Viridiplantae; Streptophyta; Magnoliopsida; Poales; Poaceae
Description: partial small subunit ribosomal RNA
Source: RNAcentral